GUGAGGAAUAUUGCACAAUGGGCGAAAGCCUGAUGCAGCAACGCCGCGUGAGUGAUGAAGGCCUUUGGGUCGUAAAACUCUGUCCUUGGGGAAGAAAAAAAUGACGGUACCCUUGGAGGAAGCCCCGGCUAACUACGUGCCAGCAGCCGCGGUAAUACGUAGGGGGCAAGCGUUAUCCGGAAUUAUUGGGCGUAAAGAGUGCGUAGGUGGUUUUGUAAGCGUAGGGUGAAAGGCAGUAGCUCAACUAUUGUUAGCCCUGCGAACUGUGAGACUUGAGUGCAGGUGAGGAAAGUGGAAUUCCUAGUGUAGCGGUGAAAUGCGUAGAUAUUAGGAGGAACACCAGUGGCGAAGGCGACUUUCUGGACUGUAACUGACACUGAGGCACGAAAGCGUGGGUAGCAAACAGGAUUAGAAACCCUGGUAGUCC
Molecule: ribosomal RNA, 427 nt
Filed under: uncultured bacterium
Lineage: Bacteria
Description: partial 16S ribosomal RNA
Rfam family: Bacterial small subunit ribosomal RNA
Source: RNAcentral